This 399-nucleotide ribosomal RNA is filed under the name uncultured bacterium. RNAcentral's name for it is "bacterial SSU rRNA". The record is from RNAcentral.
AAAGUUUACUCCGGUCUCACAUUGAAGUCUGGCGCCUGGCCCCACACAUGCAUCUGAACCGGAUUAAGGGAGCUUGAUCCCAGAUUUAGAUCCCGACAGUCGAGAAACGACCAGGAAGCUGGCUGGCUUGGGGGGAUAAUGUUCCUAAAGGAACCCUGAGACCAAUUGCUUCCCACUGACAAAUCCACGGGAUCUUCGGGCCUUGAGCUAUCAGAGGAGCCUAUGUCGUGUCAACUGAGUGGUGAGGUAAUGGCUCAUUGAGGUGACCAUCCUGCCCUGGUUUGAGAGGAUAAUCCUGCCCUGUGGACUGGAUUCAUGAAUCAGACUCCUACCGGAGGGAGGCGUGUUGAAUAUUGGACAAUCUGCCAAUUCCUGAUUCACUGAUGCCGUGCGUGUGAA